Non-coding RNA from Acanthosepion pharaonis, 109 nucleotides. Lineage: Eukaryota; Metazoa; Mollusca; Cephalopoda; Sepiida; Sepiidae. The record is from the annotation of a GenBank genome assembly.
UUACGGUCAUAUCUCGUUGCAACACCGGUUCCCGUGCGAUCACCGAAGUUAAGCAAGGUCGAGCCUGUACCUUGAGUGGUGACUGCUUGGGAAUACCAGGUGCUGUAAG